GNUGGUGACUACCUAAGUUGGGAUAGCCAUUAGAAUAGUGGUAUACGAAUAUGUUGCGGAUUGGUUCUGUAAAGAAAGGGUUGGCCCGCUUGGAUGGCCCGCGUCCCAUUAGCUUGUUGGUGAGGUAAGAGCCCACCAAGGCGAUGAUGGGUAGCCGGCCUGAGAGGGUGAACGGCCACACUGGGACUGAGAUACGGCCCAGNNCCUACGGGAGGCAGCAGCUAAGAAUAUUCCGCAAUGGACGAAAGNCUGACGGAGCGACGCCGCGUGGAUGACGAAGGCCGAAAGGUUGUAAAANCCUUUUGUUACUGAAGAAUAAGCGGGGGAGGGAAUGCCCCCGUGAUGACGUUAGGUAACGAAUAAGCCCCGGCUAAUUAA
This 378-nucleotide ribosomal RNA is filed under the name uncultured Treponema clone RFS17p. Its description in RNAcentral is "bacterial SSU rRNA". It matches the Rfam family "Bacterial small subunit ribosomal RNA", at positions 117 to 504 of the family's 1533-position model. Lineage: Bacteria; Pseudomonadati; Spirochaetota; Spirochaetia; Treponematales; Treponemataceae. The record is from RNAcentral.